AUGCGGAUCCGCAGGUCCGCCUCCCGCCUGCUUGGCUCUGCCGCAUCCGCCUCCUGCACGGAGGCCCCCCGAUUCGAGCCGCCCCCGCCGCCAGCCCCAGCCCCAGCCCGCGAAUCCGGCGCCGGGUUCCUGGGGCCGAAGACCUCCUCCGGCGGGGAGCCCUGCUGCGAGCUCAGCCGGUCGCCGUGGGACCUCAUGGCCCAGCUCGACCUCUCGGAUCCCCAGGUGGAGAAGCUCUUCGUGGAGACUUGCUUCAUGAGUGUUUCCUGGCGAGGUAGCUGGCUCUUCCCAGCAAGCAUCACCAUGCCUGCCGGCUCCAUCAGGGAGGAGGAAGACUUGGCCGUAGAUAUGGUUGACGGGGUCAUCUUGAAACUGCACAAAGCUGUGGAAAAGAUGGAUAGCAAGCUGAAGCCAUAUAAGGGGGUCAAAGUGAACAAAGGAGUGUGGAGGUGCCGGAAGAAUGACGGCAAGAGGUGGUGCUGCCGGCGGCCCGCGAGUAAGCCUAACUCAUACUGCUCGUACCACUCGGAUCAGAAGCUCUCCGUCGGCGACAAGCCACGUAGGAAGAGGCCCGACAUCGACCUGGGCGAGGGGUUCUACUACUAUGCGGGGUUUGGCCCCGGCACCAAGAGGCGCCGCACGUCAAGCAGCGGCAGCGUGCCGGAACCUCCACUGCCUGCUGAACCACUGAAAGAGGAGGCACCAGACGAGAUGCAACUUGAUUUUAGUGCAGGUCAGGUGCAGGCAGCGAAUGAAUCAGACCAUCAAGUGGUGCUUGCUCCAUCAGCACACAUCGUCGACGAGCCUGGCACCGCUGGGAUGGCGGACUGUGACAAGGAGAGCAGUGGUGAUGGCAUGCCGGAACUUCCAGUGCCUGCUAAACCACCAAAAGAGGAGGCACAGUCCGAAAUGCAACUUAAUUUUAGUGCAGGUCAGGAACAAGCUGAUGACUCAAACCAUCAAGAAGCACCGGCAUCAGUACGUGUGGUCGACAAGCCUACAGGCAACGAUGGCACCACUGGGAUCGCAGGCUGGGACGAGGAGAGCAGCGAUGACGAAGCGCUUGGCUGCAAUGGCGAACAACCCUGCGACAUCACCAAGCGGAAGGGCCCCUUCAAGAAGAGGUGGAGGAAGCCUGUGAAAGCCAGGUCACUCAAGUCACUGAUGAUGUCGUAG
Molecule: ribosomal RNA, 1176 nt
Filed under: Triticum aestivum (bread wheat)
Lineage: Eukaryota; Viridiplantae; Streptophyta; Magnoliopsida; Poales; Poaceae
Description: partial small subunit ribosomal RNA
Source: RNAcentral